Molecule: ribosomal RNA, 253 nt
Filed under: uncultured bacterium
Lineage: Bacteria
Description: partial 16S ribosomal RNA
Rfam family: Bacterial small subunit ribosomal RNA
Source: RNAcentral
UACGUAGGUGGCAAGCGUUGUCCGGAUUUAUUGGGUUUAAAGGGUGCGUAGGCGGCCCUGUAAGUCAGUGCUGAAAUAUCCCGGCUUAACCGGGAGGGUGGCAUUGAUACUGCGGGGCUAGAGUACAGAUGAGGUAGGCGGAAUUGACGGUGUAGCGGUGAAAUGCGUAGAGAUCGGGAGGAACAUCUGUGGCGAAGGCGGCCAUCUGGAUCAACACUGACGCUGAGGCACGAAAGCGUGGGGAGCAAACAGG